AAAUUGAAGAGUUUGAUCAUGGCUCAGAUUGAACGCUGGCGGCAGGCCUAACACAUGCAAGUCGAACGGUAACAGAAAGCAGCUUGCUGCUUUGCUGACGAGUGGCGGACGGGUGAGUAAUGUCUGGGAAACUGCCUGAUGGAGGGGGAUAACUACUGGAAACGGUAGCUAAUACCGCAUAACGUCGCAAGACCAAAGAGGGGGACCUUCGGGCCUCUUGCCAUCGGAUGUGCCCAGAUGGGAUUAGCUAGUAGGUGGGGUAAAGGCUCACCUAGGCGACGAUCCCUAGCUGGUCUGAGAGGAUGACCAGCCACACUGGAACUGAGACACGGUCCAGACUCCUACGGGAGGCAGCAGUGGGGAAUAUUGCACAAUGGGCGCAAGCCUGAUGCAGCCAUGCCGCGUGUAUGAAGAAGGCCUUCGGGUUGUAAAGUACUUUCAGCGGGGAGGAAGGGAGUAAAGUUAAUACCUUUGCUCAUUGACGUUACCCGCAGAAGAAGCACCGGCUAACUCCGUGCCAGCAGCCGCGGUAAUACGGAGGGUGCAAGCGUUAAUCGGAAUUACUGGGCGUAAAGCGCACGCAGGCGGUUUGUUAAGUCAGAUGUGAAAUCCCCGGGCUCAACCUGGGAACUGCAUCUGAUACUGGCAAGCUUGAGUCUCGUAGAGGGGGUAGAAUUCCAGGUGUAGCGGUGAAAUGCGUAGAGAUCUGGAGGAAUACCGGUGGCGAAGGCGGCCCCCUGGACGAAGACUGACGCUCAGGUGCGAAAGCGUGGGGAGCAAACAGGAUUAGAUACCCUGGUAGUCCACGCCGUAAACGAUGUCGACUUGGAGGUUGUGCCCUUGAGGCGUGGCUUCCGGAGCUAACGCGUUAAGUCGACCGCCUGGGGAGUACGGCCGCAAGGUUAAAACUCAAAUGAAUUGACGGGGGCCCGCACAAGCGGUGGAGCAUGUGGUUUAAUUCGAUGCAACGCGAAGAACCUUACCUGGUCUUGACAUCCACGGAAGUUUUCAGAGAUGAGAAUGUGCCUUCGGGAACCGUGAGACAGGUGCUGCAUGGCUGUCGUCAGCUCGUGUUGUGAAAUGUUGGGUUAAGUCCCGCAACGAGCGCAACCCUUAUCCUUUGUUGCCAGCGGUCCGGCCGGGAACUCAAAGGAGACUGCCAGUGAUAAACUGGAGGAAGGUGGGGAUGACGUCAAGUCAUCAUGGCCCUUACGACCAGGGCUACACACGUGCUACAAUGGCGCAUACAAAGAGAAGCGACCUCGCGAGAGCAAGCGGACCUCAUAAAGUGCGUCGUAGUCCGGAUUGGAGUCUGCAACUCGACUCCAUGAAGUCGGAAUCGCUAGUAAUCGUGGAUCAGAAUGCCACGGUGAAUACGUUCCCGGGCCUUGUACACACCGCCCGUCACACCAUGGGAGUGGGUUGCAAAAGAAGUAGGUAGCUUAACCUUCGGGAGGGCGCUUACCACUUUGUGAUUCAUGACUGGGGUGAAGUCGUAACAAGGUAACCGUAGGGGAACCUGCGGUUGGAUCACCUCCUUACCUUAAAGAAGC
This 1553-nucleotide ribosomal RNA is filed under the name Escherichia coli. RNAcentral describes it as "bacterial SSU rRNA". It matches the Rfam family "Bacterial small subunit ribosomal RNA". Lineage: Bacteria; Pseudomonadati; Pseudomonadota; Gammaproteobacteria; Enterobacterales; Enterobacteriaceae. The record is from RNAcentral.